Molecule: non-coding RNA, 1213 nt
Organism: Hydra vulgaris (swiftwater hydra)
Lineage: Eukaryota; Metazoa; Cnidaria; Hydrozoa; Anthoathecata; Hydridae
Source: RefSeq, a predicted model, not a curated record
GACGUUUGUACUAUAUUCGAGAUGAAUCUCUACGACUUGUUUUGUAUAGUCAAGAAGAAAGAAAAAGGGUUCUUAAAGAAUGUCAUAAUGAUGCUGGUGGGGCACACCAGGGAAUAGUAAGAACUCAAAAUAAAAUUAAAAAUUUGUACUAUUGGAUGUCAAUUACAUCUGAUGUUGAAGCAUGGGUUAAGUACUAUUUGCUUUUUUCGAAGGCUAUAUGUUUAUUUUCUUAAUAAUAUAAAGAUAAUAAACAUGUAACUGUCAUUAUUAAUACAAAAUUUAAAUGCAAUAUUGCAAUAAUAAUGUACACUAUAAAUUGUAUUAUUCUAAUUAAAUAAUAUAUAGUCUAUUAUAGAUAAAGACAUGUAAACAAUGUCAAUCAUUUGAAAAAAUAAAAACAAUUGCGCCACAACUACACCCAAUUCAGGUUACAGAAAGAUGGGCAGUUUUAGAAGUAGAUCUAAUUGGUCCAUUACCGGAAACAGUGAAUGGCAAUAAAUAUGUUUUAACAAUAACAGAUUUGUUUACAAAAUGGAUUGUUGCUAGAGUAUUGCCUGAAAAAUCUGCUGCUGUAGCUAAUGCUUUAGUUAACACUUUUCAUACUUAUGGUUCACCAAAAAAGUAAUUACAGAUCAAGGAAGAGAAUUUGUGAAUGAGCUUAACAAUAAAACUUUUUUGCAUGACGGAUCCCUUCACUGGUUGUUGAUUAGCACACUUGGUUGCAGCAAUAGAGUCGUUAAAAUUUAUGACUCAAUGAAGACAGAAAUGCCAACUUUGCAUGUACAAAAACAAAUUGCUUCAAUUAUAUCAUGUUCUAAAAAUACAGUUAUGUGUCAAUACCAAUCAUGUCAGCAACAAGUUGGAGGAAUUGACUGUGGUUUGUUUGCAAUUGCAUUUGCAGUAGAUAUUUGUAUGGGACAAAAUGUUGCAUCCAUUUCGUACAAUCAAUCUGCAAUGCGCCAGCAUUUACACAAUUGCUUCAAAGCUAAGCAUUUUACAUCAUUUCCGAGAUUAUAUUCAGAAAGUACAGUUAAUAAAUGUGAAAGUUCUACGAUUUUUAAUGUUUGUUAAUGUUCCUCUAAUAUUGAAUUUGAAAAAUUAUUCAGUUUAAUAGAUGUGAAGCAGUCACAAACACAUAUUCAGAUAAAGUUAAUGCAUGAAAAUGUCUGUUGUGUAUUAUUUAAUAGUUUACUUUUAGUAUACCUUUGAUUUA